This 494-nucleotide ribosomal RNA is filed under the name Coriobacteriaceae bacterium BL10. RNAcentral's name for it is "bacterial SSU rRNA". It matches the Rfam family "Bacterial small subunit ribosomal RNA", at positions 8 to 521 of the family's 1533-position model. The record is from RNAcentral. Lineage: Bacteria; Bacillati; Actinomycetota; Coriobacteriia; Coriobacteriales; Coriobacteriaceae.
AGAGUUUGAUCCUGGCUCAGGAUGAACGCUGGCGGCGCGCCUAACACAUGCAAGUCGAACGGCACCCGCCUUCGGGCGGAAGCGAGUGGCGAACGGCUGAGUAACACGUGGAGAACCCGCCCCCUCCCCCGGGAUAGCCCGGGGAAACCCGGGGUAAUACCGGAUGCCCCCUCCCGGCCGCAUGGCGGGGAGGGGAAAGCCCAGACGGGAGGGGAUGGCUCCGCGGCCCAUCAGGUAGACGGCGGGGUGACGGCCCACCGUGCCGACGACGGGUAGCCGGGUUGAGAGACCGACCGGCCAGAUUGGGACUGAGACACGGCCCAGACUCCUACGGGAGGCAGCAGUGGGGAAUCUUGCGCAAUGGGGGCAACCCUGACGCAGCGACGCCGCGUGCGGGAUGGAGGCCUUCGGGUCGUAAACCGCUUUCAGCAGGGACGAGUCAAGACGGUACCUGCAGAAGAAGCCCCGGCUAACUACGUGCCAGCAGCCGCGGU